UGCCGGGAAGUGGGGGAUAGCUCGCCGAAAGGCGAAUUAAUACCGCAUGAGGCCAGAGGGGACAUCCCUUCGACGCCAAAGUCGCAAGACGCUUCCUGAUGAACUCGCGGCCUAUCAGCUUGUUGGUGAGGUAACGGCUCACCAAGGCUAUGACGGGUAGCUGGUCUGAGAGGACGACCAGCCACACUGGAACUGAGACACGGUCCAGACACCUACGGGUGGCAGCAGUCGAGAAUUUUUCACAAUGGGGGAAACCCUGAUGGAGCGACGCCGCGUGGAGGAUGAAGGUCUUCGGAUUGUAAACUCCUGUCAUGCGAGAACAAGAAAGUGAUAGUAUCGCAAGAGGAAGAGACGGCUAACUCUGCGCCAGCAGCCGCGGUAAUACAGAGGUCUCAAGCGUUGUUCGGAUUCAUUGGGCGUAAAGGGUGCGUAGGCGGCGUGGUAAGUUGAGUGUGAAAUCCUAGGGCUUAACCUUAGAACUGCACUCAAUACUGCCAUGCUAGAGGAAUGUAGAGGAGAGUGGAAUUCACGGUGUAGCAGUGAAAUGCGUAGAUAUCGUGAGGAAGACCAGUUGCGAAGGCGACUCUCUGGGCAUUUCCUGACGCUGAGGCACGAAGGCCAGGGGAGCAAACGGGAUUAGAUACCCCGGUAGUCCUGGCAGUAAACGGUGCACGUUUGGUGUGGGCGGGUUCAGACCCCGUCCGUGCCGGAGCUAACGCGUUAAACGUGCCGCCUGGGAAGUACGGUCGCAAGAUUAAAACUCAAAGAAAUUGACGGGGGCCCGCACAAGC
RNAcentral lists this ribosomal RNA (791 nucleotides) under uncultured Verrucomicrobiota bacterium. RNAcentral's name for it is "bacterial SSU rRNA". It matches the Rfam family "Bacterial small subunit ribosomal RNA", at positions 127 to 930 of the family's 1533-position model. Lineage: Bacteria; Pseudomonadati; Verrucomicrobiota. The record is from RNAcentral.